GAGCGGUAAGGCCUUUCGGGGUACACGAGCGGCGAACGGGUGAGUACACGUGGGUGAUCUGCCCUGCACUUCGGGAUAAGCCUGGGAAACUGGGUCUAAUACCGGAUAUGACYUCMKRUYGCAUGCKKGGGGUGGAAAGAUUUAUCGGUGCAGGAUGGGCCCGCGGCCUAUCAGCUUGUUGGUGGGGUAAUGGCCUACCAAGGCACGACGGGUAGCCGACCUGAGAGGGUGACCGGCCACACUGGGACUGAGACACGGCCCAGACUCCUACGGGAGGCAGCAGGGGGAAUAUUGCACAAUGGGCGAAAGCCUGAUGCAGCGACGCCGCGUGAGGGAUGACGGCCUUCGGGUUGUAAACCUCUUCAGCAGGGACGAAGCGCAAGUGACGGUACCUGCAGAAGAAGCACCGGCUAACUACGUGCCAGCAGCCGCGGUAAUACGAGGGUGCAAGCGUUGUCCGGAAUUACUGGGCGUAAAGAGUUCGUAGGCGGUUUGUCGCGUCGUUUGUGAAAACCAGCAGUCAACUGCUGGCUUGCAGGCGAUACGGGCAGACUUGAGUACUGCAGGGGAGACUGGAAUUCCUGGUGUAGCGGUGAAAUCGCAGAUAUCAGGAGGAA
This 617-nucleotide ribosomal RNA is filed under the name Rhodococcus erythropolis. Its description in RNAcentral is "bacterial SSU rRNA". It matches the Rfam family "Bacterial small subunit ribosomal RNA", at positions 64 to 706 of the family's 1533-position model. The record is from RNAcentral. Lineage: Bacteria; Bacillati; Actinomycetota; Actinomycetes; Mycobacteriales; Nocardiaceae.